UUGCUGGAAGCCAGGUGGCGAGGUUCUCGCAAAAGGGUGGGAUGCAGGAGGGGUCAAGUUAGAAAAGUGCUACUUUCGGUCUUUGUUUGUAUUGUAACUAAUGUUUCAGGGCACUGAUAAUCAGAUUAACGAAUUUUCUUUUUCUUCUGCCCUUUAUUUGUUUUUUGGGGAGAGAGCGGGGAGGAGAUGUGUCUGUGCCUGCAAUUAGUAAUAUCUCUUCUUCCCUAGUUAUUAACAAGGAGCAGUCCAUUGGGUAUCAUGCUAAUUUUUACGUGGGCACAGGGCACAGAGUACCUUUUGGGAGACAAGUGGGACACAGUACUGAAGAUUGGCUCCAUCAAGCAAUGAAGAAAUAGAAACAUACGAUAAUGCGUAUAUAUGGCUACGGAUGAAAUGGAGGAGGCAAAAGACACGUUUAUUUUGCUUUACCCUGCAUUGAUAUCAGUAAAAGCAGGUUCCACGUGAAAAAAACCACAAAACUUUGGUCCAGGACAUCCUGAAACAAGAGAAAAAUAAAGAGAAAUGAAGGGGAUCUGAAACAAUAAAAGCCUAGGAAGCUCAAGGAAGCUGCUGUUUCCAAACCACCUAGCUGUUACAUGCUACUGUCCUGACAGCACGCUGCUUCAGCCCAUCUACGCCCUGUUUCUGUUUCUGCCUUGGGAAAAGGACGCGCCCAAUGUGGAGUAACUGAAAAUCAACAGAAACAUGCUCAUUGAAAAUAUGGUUAAGGGAAGUAAGUUUUUUAUUUAUGAAUGUGACAAAGGUAACAGCUUCUUACAAAAAAAUAGUGCUAUAAAAUAAAAACAGUCCAAAGAGAAAAUAAAAUAAGAAUCUCAGUGUUUAACUUCACACCAUAAAGCCCUAAUGCUUUAUUUUAUAGGAAAUCCUCUUAGGUCUUCAUCCAGAGGCCACCUGAUUAUCUACUUUUUUAAAAUUUACAAAUGGCACAUGGGAUAGGUAGAUCUAGAUAUUGCUGAGAAAUCCACUCCACUGCAGACUCCAUGAGGACAGAGACCAUAUUUAUCUUACGCAAUUUUGGAUUUCUAGUGUGUGCAUAUGCUUACCAUACAGUAGCAGCACAAUAAAUAUUUGUUGAAUAAAUGAAUAAAUGAAAAUUAGUUAGGGUGAUCAGGAAAUCUAGAUCUUUCCCAUUACCCAGAUGUGUGCUAUAUCCCGAGAUACCUGAAAAAUCUCAGUUGUGAUGCUAACAGUCUUGCCUUUUAGAAAUAAUUGGAAUGGAAAAUGUUUCACUUUUUUCCUGAGGCCUGUUAGUUUUGUGUUGAAUGAUCUAAAAUGUAAAAUUUAUAACUGAGAAUAUUGGCAACUACUUAGAUUGAAAACAAGCUAUCUUCAAAAUAGUGACCUCCAGGUAGAAAAUUGAUAUACUUUUAUUAGCUUCUUAAGCCAGGCUUAUUUUUAAUGUACCUUGCAUGUCUAAAACAUAUACUUUCUCAAACUUAACUCUAAGUUAUGAUGCAUAUAACCUAAAUAUUGCCUCAACUAAGAAAUUUUUGAUCAAAGGAACAAGCAACUUAUUACCUUAAUUCAGUGUAAGGGAGCUGGUGCCUCAGUUAAAAUUUCCUGUUUUGUCCUUUUAUAGAAGUAAAGCUUAGUUCUGUGAGGGCAUUAAUGAUAGAUUUUUUUUUUAAAGUUUUUUUAAUCUAAAAUUUCUGUUUCCUGAAAGUUCCUUUUUGCAGGAUGUGUUGCUGUUCUCUGUCCUUCAUCCUGGGCCCUUCCCUCAACAGUCUGGUGGUCCCUGACUGUCUGCUCACAUUUCAGAGUGAGACCCAAGUAGGUGACAGGAAGCCCUCUCUGCAUGUAUGUGGACUGGACUAUGGCCUGGUGGGCUUCUCUGUAGCCUAAUCCAGCCAGGUAGUUUCACUGCAGAGCAGUAGUCAUAAGGGAUCUGUUAGGGCUUUCCUCUAGGGAUGUCACCCCAAGAAAGAAAUCCCCCAAUCUCCUGCUUUUGAGUUAUGGAUUAUUGAAACUGGAUUGCCAGUUUUCUCCAAGCCCAGAAGUAGAAGGGUAUUUGGGUUUCAUCAUUUAUAAUGUAGUACUUGAUAUGCAAAAGCUUUUUAUCUUGAUGAUGUCCCAAUAGUUCAUUUUUGCCCUUGCUUCCCUUGCUUUUGGUGAUGCGUCUAGUUAGAAGUUGCUGCAGGGGAGAUUGAAGAGGUUGCUGCCUGUGUUCUCCUCAAGGAUUUUGUUGGAUUCCUGUCUCACAUUUAGGUCUUUCAUCCAUUUUGAGUCUAUCUUUGUGUGUGGUGUAAGGAAAUGGUCCAGUUUCAUUCUUCUGCGUGUGGCUGUCCAAUUUUCCUAACACCAGAGAAAGAGAAUUAUCGUAUAACCUCACUCAUAUGUGGAAUUUGAGAAACAAGGCAGAGGAUCAUAGGGGAAGGGAGGGAAAAAUGAAACAAGACAAAACCAGAGAGAGAGACAAACCAUAAGAGACUCUUAAUCUCAG
Mirounga angustirostris (Northern elephant seal) is the source of this 2461-nucleotide long non-coding RNA. RefSeq lists it as uncharacterized. The record is from RefSeq and is a predicted model, not a curated record. The transcript has 4 exons. Lineage: Eukaryota; Metazoa; Chordata; Mammalia; Carnivora; Phocidae.